RNAcentral lists this ribosomal RNA (450 nucleotides) under uncultured bacterium. RNAcentral's name for it is "partial 16S ribosomal RNA". It matches the Rfam family "Bacterial small subunit ribosomal RNA", at positions 354 to 796 of the family's 1533-position model. The record is from RNAcentral.
GUGGGGAAUUUUGGACAAUGGGCGAAAGCCUGAUCCAGCCAUGCCGCGUGCAGGAUGAAGGCCUUCGGGUUGUAAACUGCUUUUGUACGGAACGAAAAGACUCCUUCUAAUAAAGGGGGUCCAUGACGGUACCCGGAGAAGAAGCCCCGGCUAACUUCGUGCCAGCAGCCGCGGUAAUACGUAGGGUGCAAGCGUUAAUCGGAAUUACUGGGCGUAAAGCGUGCGCAGGCGGUUAUAUAAGACAGAUGUGAAAUCCCCGGGCUCAACCUGGGAACUGCAUUUGUGACUGUAUAGCUAGAGUACGGUAGAGGGGGAUGGAAUUCCGCGUGUAGCAGUGAAAUGCGUAGAUAUGCGGAGGAACACCGAUGGCGAAGGCAAUCCCCUGGACCUGUACUGACGCUCAUGCACGAAAGCGUGGGGAGCAAACAGGAUUAGAAACCCCUGUAGUCC